AGUGAACGCUGGCGGUAGGCCUAACACAUGCAAGUCGAACGGAAGCACAGUAAGAGCUUGCUCUUACGGGUGGCGAGUGGCGGACGGGUGAGGAAUACAUCGGAAUCUACUUUUUCGUGGGGGAUAACGUAGGGAAACUUACGCUAAUACCGCAUACGACCUACGGGUGAAAGCAGUGGAUCUUCGGACCUUGCGCGAUUGAAUGAGCCGAUGUCGGAUUAGCUAGUUGGCGGGGUAAAGGCCCACCAAGGCGACGAUCCGUAGCUGGUCUGAGAGGAUGAUCAGCCACACUGGAACUGAGACACGGUCCAGACUCCUACGGGAGGCAGCAGUGGGGAAUAUUGGACAAUGGGCGCAAGCCUGAUCCAGCCAUACCGCGUGGGUGAAGAAGGCCUUCGGGUUGUAAAGCCCUUUUGUUGGGAAAGAAAAGCAGCAGGUUAAUACCCCGCUGUUCUGACGGUACCCAAAGAAUAAGCACCGGCUAACUUCGUG
RNAcentral lists this ribosomal RNA (492 nucleotides) under uncultured bacterium. RNAcentral's name for it is "partial 16S ribosomal RNA". It matches the Rfam family "Bacterial small subunit ribosomal RNA", at positions 29 to 507 of the family's 1533-position model. The record is from RNAcentral.